CCUACGGGUGGCUGCAGUGGGGAAUAUUGGACAAUGGGCGAAAGCCUGAUCCAGCCAUGCCGCGUGUGUGAAGAAGGCCUUCGGGUUGUAAAGCACUUUCAGUGGGGAAGAAAGCCUUGGGGCUAAUACCCUCGAGGAAGGACAUCACCGACAGAAGAAGCACCGGCUAACUCCGUGCCAGCAGCCGCGGUAAUACGGAGGGUGCGAGCGUUAAUCGGAAUUACUGGGCGUAAAGCGCGCGUAGGCGGUCUGAUAAGCCGGUUGUGAAAGCCCCGGGCUCAACCUGGGAACGGCAUCCGGAACUGUCAGGCUAGAGUGCAGGAGAGGAAGGUAGAAUUCCCGGUGUAGCGGUGAAAUGCGUAGAGAUCGGGAGGAAUACCAGUGGCGAAGGCGGCCUUCUGGACUGACACUGACGCUGAGGUGCGAAAGCGUGGGUAGCAAACAGGAUUAGAUACCCGAGUAGUC
Molecule: ribosomal RNA, 465 nt
Filed under: Vreelandella stevensii
Lineage: Bacteria; Pseudomonadati; Pseudomonadota; Gammaproteobacteria; Oceanospirillales; Halomonadaceae
Description: partial 16S ribosomal RNA
Rfam family: Bacterial small subunit ribosomal RNA
Source: RNAcentral